UGGGGAAUUUUUCGCAAUGGGCGCAAGCCUGACGAAGCAACGCCGCGUGGAGGAUGAAGGUCUUCGGAUUGUAAACUCCUGUCGACCGGGACGAAUGCACCCGACCUAAUACGUCGAAGUGUUGACGGUACCGGUGGAGGAAGCCACGGCUAACUCUGUGCCAGCAGCCGCGGUAAUACAGAGGUGGCAAGCGUUGUUCGGAAUUACUGGGCGUAAAGGGCGCGUAGGCGGCCUUGUAAGUCUUGUGUGAAAGCCCUCGGCUUAACUGAGGAUCUGCACGGGAUACUGCGAGGCUUGAGUUCGGGAGAGGAAAGCGGAAUUCCGGGUGUAGCGGUGAAAUGCGUAGAUAUCCGGAGGAACACCAGUGGCGAAGGCGGCUUUCUGGACCGACACUGACGCUGAGGCGCGAAAGCU
Molecule: ribosomal RNA, 414 nt
Filed under: uncultured bacterium
Lineage: Bacteria
Description: bacterial SSU rRNA
Rfam family: Bacterial small subunit ribosomal RNA
Source: RNAcentral